RNAcentral lists this ribosomal RNA (6314 nucleotides) under Triticum aestivum (bread wheat). RNAcentral describes it as "partial small subunit ribosomal RNA". Lineage: Eukaryota; Viridiplantae; Streptophyta; Magnoliopsida; Poales; Poaceae. The record is from RNAcentral.
CCGGCCGCGACACCGGUGAACCUAGCUUUGCCGACCCACAACGAAAAGGACCACGCCCCCGCGCUCCUUCGGGUACGGCGCGGCGCACGUUUUUCGAAACGGUUAGGCGAGGGGCGUGAACACGGGUUAGGGUAAGAGAGGGCAGGACGAGGUGUGGUCGGCGGUGUGUUGGGAUCGGGGAAGGAGUAGCUAGGGGUGUCGGGGAGGGAGGAGGAGCAAGGAGCGGUCCCGGGUAGGGGUGUUGGGGAGGGAGGAGGAUCGAGGAGCGGUACCGGAGGCGGGAUCCUCGGAGCGGGCCCGGAGGAUGAGGGAGAGGUGGUGGCAUCCACGUGUGUCUGCCGCCUAGGCACGGCCUCUUCUCGUCGAGACCACCCCACGUCGACGUUGCCUCUACUUCCUCCAGGCGGCGGGCAGAAACGGAGGAGUUGUACAGGAACAACAACUCGGAUCGUCGCGUCGUCAGCCCCUGUUCCCUUUCCUCGUCCGGCUGGGCUGGCGUAGAGAAACGUGCUCCUGACCUCCUCGUCCAGCGCUCCCUUCGGCCGUGCCGGUCGCCCCCGCGACGUGUCCCUACGGGCGGAGGCCAAAAGAUAGGACAGAGGGUUAGGGGGAGGGUGGAGGAGCGAGACUCCUUAACCCGUUACCGUGCCCCCACCUUGACCGGCUCCUUCUCCCGCUGGCACUCCCCAACCUCCGGUUCCUUCUCCCGCUGUUGCGUUCCCACUUGCUCCCAUACGGACACCAGCAGCGCAACACUUUGCUGCGCUGACCCCUAUGUAUAAACAAAGGAAGGAGAGGAGUUGCUGCUCGAGACGAAGAACUCGAACGUCCAACACCUGAAAGAGAAGAGGAGAACAACCGAACGAGAGACUAGUUCGGUACCUUCCAUGCAGAGGUAGAGAACCGAGGUGUUCCCUAUACACCUCUCUCGAAAUGAUAACCGUCACCGACGUAGUAAAGCUGUUCACCGUACUAACUAGAAACGAUACACCUAGCUACCGUACUAGAUUUAAUCCAUUCGUUUCCACUGUAACAAAAGUCAUGUAGUCAAAUAACUUAUAAAACUUCCAAACUCGACGUAUUGAAUAUGUUAAAAUCAACGAAUAGAAAUAGUACAAUAGGUUAAGAAUGGUAUGGUAAACCAUCUAUUUACACGGCUAGAUGGUAAAAUCUUAAUCAUGACAAAAAGUCGAUACACAUUAACCAGUUGAUACACGACAAUCAGUCGGUGAAGGUGAAAACCUACUAAUUAAAAAACGUACUUCCAAGUCUCUUACCGAAUAUAACGGAAGGUCAGGUGCACAAUUUGGCUUUUCACGGAAUGUACUUCUGACUACCGUUAUACCAAACCCGUAUCUCAAUUAUUACAACAGAUUAAUAACACCCUACUAUAAGGGUGACUAGUACUUUUGAUGUUGGUUCUACAUGGUUGAAAACGGAACGAUGAAACUACACAUGAAUAAUUUUGUCUACGAGCCGAACGGAACAGAAAAAACAACGGAGAAAAACCAGAACCAUUCAUGUUCAUGACCAACAAUAGGGGGGAAACCUGCAACUUACAUUAAAAUUCCAGAAGCAUUCCUACCUAUCCACGACCCACGGUAGGUCUAGAAACACAACCUACGACCCUCGUUAAGAGUCUAACAGACACGUACUUAACCAGUUAAGAGGAAAGAGAACGUCUCACAGAAUAAAUAGGCUCCACCUAAGAAUAGAAGAAUGGUGUACGAACCAUUUACGUGUAAAAAGAAAGUAAAACCGAUCUGAAUCCGUCGGAAUGUGUUAAAUCUAUAGAAAAUGUCCUUGAAUAAGUUGGUCACACAACACUUAUACUUUGCCGUGUGUAACAAUGAAAUCACUCUUCAAGGACUUGUACCAGAGAUACAGAGACUGAACCAACUAACCCAAAGAAGACAAUAGGUCAGAGAGUGAUCCGAAUAAUGGAAACAACGACUUAAAACGGAUGUUAUAUAUAUUAACUGAGUGUACUGGUAGAAAUCAUGAAAUAUGAACCCAUCCUUUAAGUGCUAUUAGAAGGUUACGGCAUCGAACCUAUUUAUUAACACCGUAGUUUCAAUUUUGAUGUUUCUUCUACUACCCUGUACUGAAUUAUAGUUUAAAAGAUCUCAGACCGUACCGUAAAUAAACACUGACGUACCGGACUUAACCCGUAGAUACCUUUGUACAAUUCGAGAACGAACCGUAAAUAAACACUGACGUGCCGGACUUAACCCGUAGAUACCCUUGUACAAUUCGAGAACGAAAACCUGUUAAUCCGACGGCAUUGAACGACCAAAUUAUAUGCGCACAGACGCCUUAAACGUUUACUUAGUAAUAGAGUCCAAAUCAGUACGUGUACCGGUGAUUAGUGUUGUUCCCAAUCCUUGUUCAGAUGAUAGAACUAAAAUUCAUUGACUUUAUAUGUAUAUCAAUUGAUACCAAAAUUCGAUGUGAAAUCAGAACAGGACUAUUGAUCUUGACGACACUACAACGAGACAAUAUUCAUGUAACGGAUGUGGUCAACUUUAUUGAGUACCAACGGAAAAGAAAACAAACAGGUCCGUUACAUACCAUCUUCCACAUUUAUCACAUCUAAGUCACAAGACAUAUAAAUACUUUAAGUGUUAGUCGUCACAGUACACACUACGCGGUACUUAGCAUCACUCGAAUAAAGAAACGUGUGAACCACAUAGGAGAAUAGUAGAAAACAUGUCCAGGACCUUACCUUUCUAGUCAAACCACCACGGUAUGAUUUAGUUAAUACAUCCGAACCGUGGAGGGAACUAACCAGGCACUCCAUAUGAAGAAUAAAAGGAAUCAAUUCUUUUUAUUUCUUUUGUUUAUUUGUUACAUAACAGAUAUCAAGGUUGAGGAUUACAGUUGAAUUAAAGGUGGAGCACACAGUCAGGAAAUGUUACCUACUCAUUUCCAGUUUUGACAUUAACUUCGAAAACAGCCCAACAUAUUUCUACCGGAAUAAAUAUCCAAUCAUAGGAGUAGAAGGGAACAAGGUCCACAAUUCGUAAACACAAAACGGACAAUUCAUUACGGUACCACAAAACUGUAGCUCGAUACUCAGUCACAUGACCAAACUAUCUAGCAUAACAGUAUAAGUGGAGAAGAAACCUUUAUUUCAUCUUAAUCAAUCAAAAUCCAAACUUACAGUCCGUUUUUAGUUUACCCUCUUCGCUGGAUAGUCAGGUCUAAGAUUAACAAUAAACCACAACUCUAAGUAUACCGACUGUGUAUUAAAAUUGACCCGCUAAAGUCUACAUUAGAUAACGGAGAGACUACACUAGACGAUGUUUUAAUACAGAGUCGGUAGAGAUAAAUGUAAUGAUGACAUUCGAAGACUUUCCAUUUAAUACGAUCCUGUUAAGAACAAAUCGAAAUUGAUACUAUAGGAUUUACGCGUUGAUUUAUGAUGACCCUAGUGCUGAUGUUUUUUAUAAUACUGUACGCUUGUUAAGAACCAACUUUAUGACACUCGAAUUUAUUGUCCUCGAUUUGACAAAACGACACAAAUCUUAACCAUGAUCUUUUCUAUUAGAUUUAACAUUUAAGACUUUCAUAUAACCUGAGAACGGGAAAACUUUAAUCAGAAGAUUCGUAAUGAAACAUUGUUUACUGUACUAUUGAACGACCAAGUCAAAUUUCAACGUCCGUUUGCGAACGCCAUCCCCUUUUAAGAAUAAGUACCGUAGAAAAACACCGAUGUUAUUAGUAAGGGCACUAAUUAGGAACACAAAACACGACAUCUCGUUGGGAGUCGACCAGUAGUAGCGAGUACUACAACUGGGUCAACUCGACCAACACACCAAGGGUCGGGACACGUUCUUUAACCCUCCAGGGUAUGGCGUAACAAUUCCCUCUUAGUGUGGCACCUGGGACAUCCAUAAAGGAUUACAUUCACAGCACAAAAGGAAGAAACACGUGGACCUGCCCUCACGAGUACUCUCGCUGCUGUACGAUGACUUGAGUUAAAGUCUCUACUUAAACCCCCGGUCGCCAGACCUCGGGGAGUAAUCUUCACGAGUCCGCCGUACAGUGUCAACAAACGACUCUUAAAUGGUCCUUGUUAAAAACGAACAGAGAUCGUACUCCGAUACUCGGGAUAUCAUCAAGGUCACACUACUAGAUGGUGAACAGAUCCUUCCCCCUAAUUUUCUACCGUGAACAGUAAACCUCGUUAAUCAUAACCUGGUAAACUCCUUCAUUUACAAAUUUGGUGAUUUGGAAUAUGAGUAAACAUUUUUCCAAUACACAAAAAAAUUAGGUAAUCGUCUCAAUCAAACAGAUCUUAUUGAUUGAUAGACCUCAAGACCUGAUUAUACCUUACUACUUUUAAAGUCUUGAUCUAUAUUUUAAACUACGCAGACCGAACAAAUUGAACGUCAGAAAUAAAGAUUAUUAAAACAACAACAACUCCAACGGGGAUCCAAAAUAAUGACACCCAGAUUAAAUCUAUUAAACUUUUAUCAGGAUAUAUCCUCAUACGAGUAGAUAUUGUCAACCCUCCCUUUAGUAUGGUUAAUGUCUAAAACAGUUUUGAACCGUAAUGAUAUACGUAUUUAGAUUUAAUAACAAGUAUUACCUAAGUGGUGAUGACAUGUAUUCGAUGUAAACGAUACAUAUAUUCGGCUUAAUCAUCGUGAUACAGGACAAAAGAACGAAGUUAUGGCACAUGACGGAGAAAUGAAACAAGAGGUGUAAAAUUUAAAGUAGAAAGAAACCUUCAUAUCAGCGGUUGAAUACCAGACGUAACACAUAUUGGCUUUACUCACUUCAAAGGAUUAUGGUAACAGAUAUUGACUUUACUCACAUCAAAGCAUUAUGGUUUCGUACACGUGAGUGUAUAAACAGAGAGAAAAUCACAACGACUUACGUAUUUUUUGUACGUGUGCCGGUUUUCAAUUUUUUCAGGCUCCAUAACCCAAAAGUAAAAAGAGAAUCUUAACAAGUACAACUACGACAACAGUAAAAAAGACUUUAAAUCUGUUGAGAAAGGCGAAUUAUUAUCAAAUGGCUAAAGUCACGUAGGAUACAUACAAACUGACUAACCAGCAGGAGAGUAGGUCUCAAUGAGUUACAACGUAAACACACAAGGAAAUGGGGUGAAACGAAUAAAAAACCAGUACACUCGCCCAACACACAAUAACAAAGGUAGCAGUAAAUCAUACGACUACAAAAAAUUCUACUGAAGAUAUAACGACCUUUGAAUUUAAAAUUAAAUGUGUAAACUCGUCGACUGAUCUAGUUCUUUAUUAAAAACAUUCUAACUCCGGUCAAAUAAACCAUUCCAUCUUCUUUUUAUCCUACUUAUACGUGUACAAUAAUGACAUGCUUCCGAUUUGCGACUUAUAGUAACUACCAAGAAAGGACUCCAACUCAUCCUCACAGAGGGAAAAAGCAUAUUAAAACAGAGGUGUUAAAGGAUUUCUUAUCAAACCAAGAUCUUGUUUGUACGAUACUUAUUAACGUAACAAUGAAGUCACUUUUCAAGGACCCGUUUGAUACACAAGGAGACCUGAACCAACUUUCAUAAAGAAAACAAUAGGUUAAAGAGUGAUGUGUACAAUGGAAACAAAGACUUAAAACGGAUGUUAAAGAUAUAUCAUCUGAGUGUACUAAUGGAGUACGCCUAAGAUAUUGAACCUUUUGUGUAGAUCCUAUAAGUACAACACACACCACGGGACCUCUUUCGAAACGAUGAGGUCAGUCGGUGAAUGUGCUGUUGGGUCUUAACUAAGUAUUAAAGUACAAAUGUGAAGAUAAUGUCAUCUGGUUGUACAGUAUUUGUACCACAACCAGUAACAAACAGGUCAAGGGAAGUUUUUUUCUUCUCUACCGUCCCUCACCGAGGUAGUGACUUCUCUGCUGUUUGUAAAACGUUCCGUAACAAAUAAGUCCAGGAAGUUUUUUAUUUCCUUAAUGUUACGUAGAUUGGAUAUUUCCCCGACACUUCCUGUUUUACGAUACCUGGGUCUCCUCACCCUCCCCUCUUAAAUGGUUGUUACGUAGUUCCUGUUUCGCACUGGACCAAAGGAUUCAAGGUCGAUUGUAUCGUUUUAACAUAUCUCUCUUACGGGCGUAAAAAGAUAAUGUAUCAAACUCCGAUACAAAGAAAAUAAAAAGUAAUAAUUUUCGUAGAAAUAGUAACGGUUUAAUAGUUCGUAAAUAAAAGUUUAUUGAGAACCAAACUUCACCCCGGAACGAGGUAAACCACGUUACUCAUUACAAUAAUAUGCAGAAUAACAUCUGUGGUUCGGAAACAAGAAAAAAACGCUUCUCCCCAAUUUAAACAAUUUGGUACG